This 253-nucleotide ribosomal RNA is filed under the name uncultured bacterium. RNAcentral's name for it is "partial 16S ribosomal RNA". It matches the Rfam family "Bacterial small subunit ribosomal RNA", at positions 524 to 776 of the family's 1533-position model. The record is from RNAcentral.
UACAGAGGCCCCAAGCGUUACUGAGAAUCACUGGGUUUAAAGGGUGCGUAGGUGGUCCGUUAAGUUCGUUGUGAAAUCCCUGGGCUCAACCCAGGAAUUGCUUCGAAUACUGGCGGACUUGAGGCCAGUAGAGGUCACUGGAACUGACGGUGGAGCGGUGAAAUGCGUAGAUAUCGUCAGGAACGCCGGUGGUGAAGACGGGUGACUGGGCUGGUUCUGACACUGAGGCACGAAAGCGUGGGGAGCAAACGGG